Molecule: ribosomal RNA, 406 nt
Filed under: uncultured bacterium
Lineage: Bacteria
Description: partial 16S ribosomal RNA
Rfam family: Bacterial small subunit ribosomal RNA
Source: RNAcentral
AUUGAACGCUGGCGGCAGGCCUAACACAUGCAAGUCGAACGAGAGGGGGACGGGUGAGUAAUGUCUGGGAAACUGCCUGAUGGAGGGGGAUAACUACGGGAAACUGUAGCUAAUACCGCGUACCAUCGGAUGUGCCCAGGUGGGAUUAGGUAGUUGGUGGGGUAAAGGCUCACCAAGGCGACGAUCCCUAGCUGGUCUGAGAGGAGGACCAGCCACACUGGGACUGAGACACGGGCCAGACUCCGACGGGAGGUAGCAGUGGGGAAUAUUGGACAAUGGGGGUAAUCCUGAUGCAGCCAUGCCGCGUGGAUGAAGAAGGCCUUCGGGUUGUAAAGUACUUUUGGCGGGGAGGCGGUACCCGCAGAAGAAGCACCGGCUAACUCCGUGCCAGCAGCCGCGGUAAUAC